Molecule: unclassified non-coding RNA, 346 nt
Filed under: uncultured fungus
Lineage: Eukaryota; Fungi
Description: partial contains small subunit ribosomal RNA, internal transcribed spacer 1, and 5.8S ribosomal RNA
Rfam family: Eukaryotic small subunit ribosomal RNA (bases 1-73)
Source: RNAcentral
UCAAACUUGGUCAUUUAGAGGAAGUAAAAGUCGUAACAAGGUCUCCGUUGGUGAACCAGCGGAGGGAUCAUUACAGAGUUAUCAAAAAAACUCCCAACCCUUUGUGAACCGUACCGUCGUUGCCUCGGCGCAGAACCUGGAGCCAUUUUCCGGAGAAGCUACCCUGGAGCUGACUACCCUGUAAGCAGCUACCCUGGAGAGCUACCCGGCACCGCCUGCCAGCCGCGUCAGAGGACCUACCCUAAACUCUUUAUUCUUUUUACCGUGUCUUUCUGAGUGACCGAAAAAAAAAGUUAAAACUUUCAACAACGGAUCUCUUGGUUCUGGCAUCGAUGAAGAACGCAGC